Raphanus sativus (radish) is the source of this 3171-nucleotide RNA transcript. It is a transcript of the gene named transcription factor GTE4, with no coding region annotated. The record is from RefSeq and is a predicted model, not a curated record. The transcript is spliced from 6 exons. NCBI's taxonomy places the organism in Eukaryota, Viridiplantae, Streptophyta, Magnoliopsida, Brassicales, Brassicaceae.
UCUGUUUUCGGCCCAACCCUAAAAAGAUCCGGGUCGGGUUAAAAGAAAAAGGCAAAAUCAAACACGGGUUGCUGUUCUUCAUCUCUCUGCGGCGCCUUGUCUCUCCCAAACUCGAAGGUCAGCUUCCCUUCGAUUCACCUCUCAAACACCAAUAUUGCUUUCAUUUUCUCACCUCAUCCUUUCUCCCCAAGGUUUGUGUCGAUCUCGAAGCACAUAGAAAUUUUCAAAUAACCUAAUUGUCUCUCUUCUCGUCAAAAACCCAAUCCAUAUAUUUCUCGGAGAUUUUUUUUUCAACUCGACAUCUAAAUUCAUCUCCGCGACGUAAAAACCCUAAUUCCGUGGUGCUGUUGCAGUCUCAAAGUUUCUGCACACUCUCUGAAAUCGAAACGGAGGUUUCGUUUUAUAAUUAGGGUUUCUCAGGAUUCUCAUGGUGGAGGAUGUUUUGGUCAGAGUCUGAUUUGAGGGAUUACUCUCGAGAGAAGUGAAGAUAAGGCAUCAAUCGAGAACAAUUCGUUUGUGAAAUUAGGGUUUUUGAGGUACAUGUAUGGCUUCGGAGCCUGUUAACGGAGAAGCAACCGGCAGAGCUAGAGAGAAGAAGCAAAGCAUUAGAGUCUAUACGAGGAAAGGUAAAGGCCAGAGGAAACAUUCACCCUUCUUUGCAUUCGAAGGAGGCGGUGGCGGCGAUAAACCAGAGGGGAAAUCAGAAAACAAUCAUGUGAGUCCUCCUGAAACUCUAGCUCGAGUGUCUGUGGAUGAGGAUCAUCUUGAGGCCACUGCAGCAGAAGCACCUGUUGAUGAUUCUGACAAAUUGACUGAAACGCCUCAGGUUGAUACCAGUUUGGCCGCUACUGAUAAGAACGUUAUACAACCUGUUCCAGGUCGUCCUUUGGGUGAGGAUGAUGUGAACACAACUCAAGAUGAUGUCAAUACAGUGGUUGUUGAUGAGAACUCUAUCAAGGAACCACCUCCUAAAAGCCUUUCCCAAGAAGAUGUAACUACUACCAUGAUUGUUGACAAGAAGGCUAUUGAUGCACCUUCCCAAGCCCUAUCAGCUGAAGAUGCUAAUAAUGUUGUUGUUGUUGUUGACAAGAAUCCCAUUGAAGUGUCUUCUGAGGAUGAGGAAUAUGUCCACGUGGUAGAUGAAGAUCACCUUGUUAAAGAAGCUAACCUUGUGGAAAGAGAUGCCACUGAUUCUGUUCAGAACAUCCGUGCUACUGCUGCUGAAAGCAUGCCAAUGGAGGAGGAUGUAGAUGGACGGAUAAGGAUACAUGUAGCCUCCAAAUCUAGGCAACAGAAAGAGGAGAUCAGGAAGAAGCUUGAAGUUCAGCUUAACGUGGUCAGAGGUCUGGUUAAGAAGAUUGAGGACAAAGAGGGGGAGAUUGGUGCGUACAAUGACUCUCCCCUUUUGGCUAACACUGGUAUCAAUAACGGAGGAGGAAGGAUUCUCUCCGGGUUCGCAUCAGCUGGACUUCCUCGUGAGGUCAUCAGAGUGCCAAGGCCUUUGAAUCAACUCAGUAUAUCAGUGUUGGAGAAUACUCAAGGAGUUAAUGAGCAUGUGGAGAAAGAGAAAAGAACACCUAAGGCCAAUCAGUUUUAUAGAACUUCAGAGUUCUUGCUUGGUGACAAGUUGCCACCUGCAGAGAGUAACAAGAAAUCAAAGUCAAGUGCAAAGAAGUAUGGAGGGGAGGUUGGGCAUGGUUUUGGUGCAGGCUCUAAAGUUUUCAAGAACUGCAACGCUCUACUAGAAAGGCUGAUGAAGCAUAAGCACGGUUGGGUGUUCAAUGCUCCUGUAGAUGUGAAGGGUCUAGGUUUGCAUGAUUACUUUACCAUUAUCGAACACCCUAUGGAUUUGGGAACUGUCAAGUCUACGCUAACAAAUAAUCUUUACAAGUCGCCAAGAGAAUUUGCGGAGGAUGUUAGACUUACUUUCCACAAUGCCAUGACUUACAACCCACCAGGACAAGAUGUCCAUAUCAUGGCGCAAGUGCUAUUACAGAUGUUUGAGGAGAGGUGGGCUGUUAUAGAGUCAGAUUAUAAUCGUGAAAUGAGAUUUGUCACUGCUUAUGAGAUGAAUCUGCCAGCUUCUACAAUGAGGUCUAGACUGGGUCCUACGAUGCCGCCACCGCCUAUCAAUGUGAGGAAUACAACGGAUUGGAGUAGUCGCCCUGCGGACUUGCAGCAGCACCCAAAACCGACAACAACGCCUGGAAGAACACCGACCAGUGGAACACCUUCUGGAAGGACCCCUGCUCUGAAGAAGCCAAAGGCAAACGAACCGAAUAAAAGAGAUAUGACGUAUGAAGAGAAGCAGAAGCUUAGUGGCCACUUACAGAAUUUGCCUCCAGACAAAUUAGAUGCGAUUGUACAAAUUGUUAACAGGAGGAACACCGCUGUGAAGCUAAGGGAUGAAGAAAUUGAAGUCGAUAUUGAUAGUGUUGAUCCGGAGACGCUGUGGGAGUUGGACAGAUUUGUAAUAAACUACAAAAAGGGAUUGAGCAAGAAAAAGAGAAAAGCUGAGCUGGCUAUGCAAGCUAGAGCAGAAGCCGAGAGGAAUGGCCAACAACAGAUGGCUCCAGCACCAGUGGCACGUGAGUUUUCUAGGGAGGGUGGCAACACAGCUAAAAAGACACUCCCUACACCGUUACCUUCUCAAGUGGAGAAGCAAAACAAUGAGGCAAGUCGAUCAAGUAGUUCAAGCAGCUCUUCCAGUGGUUCCAGCUCUUCUAGUGAUUCAGACAGCGAUAGCUCUUCGUCAUCUGGAUCAGAUCAGACCUAGACACUGCUGUACAAGAGGGACUGGUGUUGACAAAUAUUGGUAUAGAUUUCAACGGCAUCUUACUUGGCUCUGUUUUGGCAUGGUUGUAAUACAUUUGUAUUUGAUUGGCUUGUUCCCAUCUGGGCGUUUAAAAAGAUGGAAGGUAUAGUUAGAAGAGCAUUUGGGAGGUUGAAGAUGAGGUGACGUACAGGCUUGAGGCAGAAGUAUUGCAACGUGGUUUUGUGGAAGGAAAGAUUGUAUUAUAUUCACGACUGUUAAGAGUAAAAAGUAACAUAUUCUUUUUUUUCUUUUAGAGUUGGUAGUUUGAUUAUGUGGUUGGGGUGUCUACUUUAUGUAACCGUAGGGUUGGUUUGGUCUGUUUUGGUACUUUUGUAUAUCUCUGCCUCUCCCUCGUU